This is a long non-coding RNA of Polypterus senegalus (gray bichir), 610 nucleotides long. RefSeq lists it as uncharacterized. The record is from RefSeq and is a predicted model, not a curated record. Lineage: Eukaryota; Metazoa; Chordata; Cladistia; Polypteriformes; Polypteridae. The transcript is spliced from 3 exons.
CAUGACGUCUUGAAAGUCACAUUCAGUAGACAGAAGCCAUGAACCCUUCAGGUCCUGACAUGGAGAAUAACAGCCGAGGUGUUUUCACUCCCGUUACUGUUGUUCAUAUUGAUGAAAAUCCAACACUGGUGAAAGAUCAUGUUUUAUGGUCUCUGUUCAGUUUCUACUUCAUGAAUUACUUCUGCCUUGGACUGAUUGCUUUAUGGUAUUCAAUUAAAUCCAGAGACCAGAAAGUGGCAAGGAACAUACAGCUAGCAAGAAUGUAUGGAGAAAAAGCAAAAUGCUUUAAUAUCAUUGUCUCGGUUAUGGCAGGUGUUACCAUCUUCAUUACAUUUAUUGUAGUAAUUUGUGUAACACAGGCAGCAGCACAGGCAGCAUACAGUUAUACCAGAGUGCCAUCAUACAAAUGGAAUUAAAAUAGUCUCAGCAUUAGGGACAAGCAGAAGAUCAUACUGAGGAAAAUAAAUAAUCCAUGCCUGCCGUUUGCUACUCUGAAAGUGAAGAAGUCCUCUAUUUGAAUGCUUGAUGUCAAGAAACAAAUAAACAGCUAUUAUUGUAUACUUUGUUUUAGUAGCAAUAAAACCCAUGCUUUGCCAGAAUGUUAACAGAA